This 1334-nucleotide long non-coding RNA is filed under the name Nicotiana tabacum (common tobacco). Its description in RNAcentral is "long non-coding RNA (NTAB_LNC017584)". Lineage: Eukaryota; Viridiplantae; Streptophyta; Magnoliopsida; Solanales; Solanaceae. The record is from RNAcentral.
UCGCUGCUAGUGAUUGUGAGGAGUGAAAUCUCAUCCACUUUGGGCCUAAAAACAGCCAGUUGAGCAGAAUUGGCAGAAAGGGAGAGUCGUUGGUCACAAGGAGAGAGCUGUGUUCCAUUGGAAAAGAACGAUUCCUUAGAAGAAAACGCAAGCCCAAAAGUGAAACCAUCCCAUCUCUGAAUUUUUGUGUCUGAACAUGGAUCAAAAACAGGAUUUGUAUCUCCACCGUGCACGUUGCUCAUCACCAUCAUCGUCAAUACCAAUAUCAACGCCACCAUGAUUCCCAUCUUCACCAAAUCAUUAACAACAAAAGAAAGAAAGAAAGAAAGAAAAAGCAAAAAAUUAGUUUACAGAGGAAAUGUUCCAAAGGUAAGACUUUGCAAUUUUUCCAAGUUGUGGUAAGCAAUUAGAACAAUGAUUAAACUCAACAACACAACAAGUAAAAUACCACAAGCGGGGUAUGGAGAGGGUAGACUGUACGCAAAUAUUACCCUUACCCGGACGAGUAGAGAGAUUGUUUCCGGAAGAUCCUCGGCUAAAAAAACGAACAAUGAUUAAACUCAUAACAAAGAAACACAACACAAAUGAAAAUCAUAACAACAAGGGUGGGAGGCAACCUGGUUUAACAGGACAUCAAAUAUUCUAAUUUAGCUACCAUCAAUUCAUCAACAACUUAUGUUUAGUUAUUCAAUUACUCAAUUAAUUAAUUUUUAGAACCUGAAUUGAAAUUUUAGAGGAUUCAUGGUAUUAUUUAAGAACCCCAAACCUCCUCCAAGGAAAAUAACAACAACAACAACAACAACAACAAAAAAUCCAGUUUAAGGGUUUGGGGAGCAUAUAUGCAGACCUUACCCUACCUUCGAAAAGACAGAAAAGUUAUUUUCGGUAUCCUCGGCUCACGAAAAAUAAAAAGAGGGGCAAUGACAAGCAAACCAAUAAGAUGUUUGUUUAUAAACACAAAAAUUUAUGAAUUUAUGCUAAUUCCAAAAGUCAAAACAAGGAAUCAAUAGGAAGCAAACUUACAAAAACAAAGUUACCCCUGAGAAAAAAAUCUGAUGUUGUUCAAUCCCUUAGAACCUUUUCUUGAUAUUGAUCAAAGUUUUAAGAAAACCGUUUCCUUAUGUGGAAAACUAAUUAUUACGCCUAGUAAUAGAUAUAUUACUAGUUACUAGAAGAAAAAGAAGAAGAAAAAAACUGAAGGGAUCAAAAUAAUAAGGAAUUAAAGGUUUUAGAAAUUGGUUGUUGAAAAUAUUUGUUUUGGUAAUUUCGACGUGUGAUGGGUUUUUGGGAUUCGUACUUGCAAAGAAAAGUUUCUUAAGGUAAAGUACACGAGA